UCUGCCGCUCAUGGAUGGGCCUGCGGUGCAUUAGCUAGUUGGUGAGGUAGUGGCUCACCAAGGCGACGAUGCAUAGCCGACCUGAGAGGGUGAUCGGCCACACUGGGACUGAGACACGGCCCAGACUCCUACGGGAGGCAGCAGUAGGGAAUCUUCCGCAAUGGACGCAAGUCUGACGGAGCAACGCCGCGUGAGUGAUGAAGGGUUUCGGCUCGUAAAACUCUGUUGUUAAGGAAGAACACUUGAGGUAGUAACUGGCCUCGAGCUGACGGUACUUAACCAGAAAGCCACGGCUAACUACGUGCCAGCAGCCGCGGUAAUACGUAGGUGGCAAGCGUUAUCCGGAAUUAUUGGGCGUAAAGCGCGCGUAGGCGGUAGAAUAAGUCUGAUGUGAAAGCCCCUGGCUCAACCAGGGAGGGUCAUUGGAAACUGUUUUACUUGAGUACAGAAGAGGAGAGUGGAAUUCCAUGUGUAGCGGUGAAAUGCGCAGAGAUAUGGAGGAACACCAGUGGCGAAGGCGGCUCUCUGGUCUGUAACUGACGCUGAGGUGCGAAAGCAUGGGGAUCAAACAGGAUUAGAUACCCUGGUAGUCCACGCCGUAAACGAUGAGUGCUAAGUGUUGGGGGGUUUCCGCCCCUCAGUGCUGCAGCUAAC
RNAcentral lists this ribosomal RNA (654 nucleotides) under uncultured bacterium. Its description in RNAcentral is "bacterial SSU rRNA". It matches the Rfam family "Bacterial small subunit ribosomal RNA", at positions 211 to 856 of the family's 1533-position model. The record is from RNAcentral.